This 514-nucleotide ribosomal RNA is filed under the name uncultured delta proteobacterium MT21. RNAcentral describes it as "bacterial SSU rRNA". It matches the Rfam family "Bacterial small subunit ribosomal RNA", at positions 53 to 544 of the family's 1533-position model. The record is from RNAcentral. Lineage: Bacteria; Deltaproteobacteria.
ACAUGCAAGUCGAACGAGAAAGGGAUUGCUUGCAAUCCCGAGUAGAGUGGCGCACGGGUGAGUAACACGUAGAUAAUCUACCUUCAAGCCCGGGAUAACCAUUCGAAAGGAUGGCUAAUACCGGAUGCAGUGCAUAUGCCCAAGUAUAUGUAUGAAAGACUGCCUCUUCUUGAAAGCAGUUGUUUGGAGAUGAGUUUGCGUACCAUUAGCUUGUUGGUGAGGUAAAGGCCCACCAAGGCUGUGAUGGUUAGCUGGUCUGAGAGGAUGAUCAGUCACACUGGAACUGGAACACGGUCCAGACUCCUACGGGAGGCAGCAGUGAGGAAUUUUGCGCAAUGGGGGAAACCCUGCGCAGCAACCCCGCGUGAGUGAAGAAGGCCCUUGGGUCGUAAAGCUCUGUCAACUGGGAAGAAGUUAUCAUUGGUUAACAGAUGAUGGUAUUGACGGUCCAGUGGAGGAAGCGCCGGCUUACUCCGUGCCAGCAGCCGCGGUACACCGGGGGCGCAAGCGUUAU